This 466-nucleotide ribosomal RNA is filed under the name uncultured bacterium. RNAcentral describes it as "partial 16S ribosomal RNA". It matches the Rfam family "Bacterial small subunit ribosomal RNA", at positions 28 to 507 of the family's 1533-position model. The record is from RNAcentral.
GAUGAACGCUGGCGGCGUGCUUAACACAUGCAAGUCGAACGAGGAAGCCCAGCUUGCUGGGUGGAUUAGCGGCGAACGGGUGAGUAACACGUGAGUAACCUGCCCUUAACUCUGGGAUAAGCCUGGGAAACUGGGUCUAAUACCGGAUAGGAGCGUCCACCGCAUGGUGGGUGUUGGAAAGAUUUAUCGUUUUUGGAUGGACUCGCGGCUUAUCAGCUUGUUUGUGAGGUAAUGGCUCACCAAGGCGACGACGGGUAGCCGGCCUGAGAGGGUGACCGGCCACACUGGGACUGAGACACGGCCCAGACUCCUACGGGAGGCAGCAGUGGGGAAUAUUGCACAAUGGGCGCAAGCCUGAUGCAGCGACGCCGCGUGAGGGAUGACGGCCUUCGGGUUUUAAACCUCUUUCAGUAGGGAAGAAGCGAAAGUGACGGUACCUGCAGAAGAAGCACCGGCUAACUACGUG